AAGGCAAAACUAAUCUGCUACCAGCAGUCGAGCGGAUGAAGGGAGCUUGCUCCUGGAUUCAGCGGCGGACGGGUGAGUAAUGCCUAGGAAUCUGCCUGGUAGUGGGGGAUAACGUCCGGAAACGGGCGCUAAUACCGCAUACGUCCUGAGGGAGAAAGUGGGGGAUCUUCGGACCUCACGCUAUCAGAUGAGCCUAGGUCGGAUUAGCUAGUUGGUGGGGUAAAGGCCUACCAAGGCGACGAUCCGUAACUGGUCUGAGAGGAUGAUCAGUCACACUGGAACUGAGACACGGUCCAGACUCCUACGGGAGGCAGCAGUGGGGAAUAUUGGACAAUGGGCGAAAGCCUGAUCCAGCCAUGCCGCGUGUGUGAAGAAGGUCUUCGGAUUGUAAAGCACUUUAAGUUGGGAGGAAGGGCAGUAAGUUAAUACCUUGCUGUUUUGACGUUACCAACAGAAUAAGCACCGGCUAACUUCGUGCCAGCAGCCGCGGUAAUACGAAGGGUGCAAGCGUUAAUCGGAAUUACUGGGCGUAAAGCGCGCGUAGGUGGUUCAGCAAGUUGGAUGUGAAAUCCCCGGGCUCAACCUGGGAACUGCAUCCAAAACUACUGAGCUAGAGUACGGUAGAGGGUGGUGGAAUUUCCUGUGUAGCGGUGAAAUGCGUAGAUAUAUGAAGGAACACCAGUGGCUAAAGCGACCACCUGGACUGAUACUGACACUGAAGUGCGAAAGCGUGGGGAGCAAACACGAUUAGAUACCCUGGUAGUCCACGCCGUAAACGAUGUCGACUAGCCGUUGGGAUCCUUGAGAUCUUAGUGGCGCAGCUAACGCGAUAAGUCGACCGCCUGGGGGAGUACGGCCGCAAGGUUAAAACUCAAAUGAAUUGACGGGGGCCCGCACAAGCGGUGGAGCAUGAUGGUUUAAUUCGAAGCAACGCGAAGAACCUUACCUGGCCUUGACA
Molecule: ribosomal RNA, 958 nt
Filed under: Pseudomonas fluorescens
Lineage: Bacteria; Pseudomonadati; Pseudomonadota; Gammaproteobacteria; Pseudomonadales; Pseudomonadaceae
Description: bacterial SSU rRNA
Rfam family: Bacterial small subunit ribosomal RNA
Source: RNAcentral